GCCCAUUCCGCAGGAGAGAGCCGCGCCGGACCAAACCGGACGCCGCCGCCGAAGGCGCAAGUGCACCCGCAAUCGCUCAGGCAAAAGGACUGCAAGAAUCGG
Molecule: non-coding RNA, 102 nt
Filed under: Vogesella sp. EB
Lineage: Bacteria; Pseudomonadati; Pseudomonadota; Betaproteobacteria; Neisseriales; Chromobacteriaceae
Also listed under: 1 other name
Description: Glycine riboswitch aptamer
Rfam family: Glycine riboswitch aptamer
About the family: This family represents the bacterial glycine riboswitch. Glycine riboswitches usually consist of two metabolite-binding aptamers domains with similar structures in tandem. The aptamers cooperatively bind glycine to regulate the expression of downstream genes.
Source: Rfam by way of RNAcentral